UACGGGGGGGGCAAGCGUUGUUCGGAAUUACUGGGCGUAAAGGGCUCGUAGACGGCCAACUAAGUCAGACGUGAAAUCCCUCGGCUUAACCAAGGAACUGCGUCUGAUACUAGAUGGCUUGAAUUCGGGAAAAAAAUGCGGAAUUCCAGAUGUAGCGGUGAAAUGCGUAGAUAUCUGGAGGAACACCGGUAGCGAAGGCGGCAUCCUGAACCGACAUUGACGCUGAGGAGCGAAAUCCAGGGGAGCAAACGGG
This 253-nucleotide ribosomal RNA is filed under the name uncultured bacterium. RNAcentral describes it as "partial 16S ribosomal RNA". It matches the Rfam family "Bacterial small subunit ribosomal RNA", at positions 524 to 776 of the family's 1533-position model. The record is from RNAcentral.